GGGGCUGGGGCUCAGUGGUAGAGCACUUGCCUUGUAAGUGUGAGGUCCUGGGUUCAAUUCUCAGCACCA
RNAcentral lists this transfer RNA (69 nucleotides) under Ictidomys tridecemlineatus (thirteen-lined ground squirrel). RNAcentral describes it as "Spermophilus tridecemlineatus (thirteen-lined ground squirrel) tRNA". It matches the Rfam family "tRNA". From Rfam's summary of the family: Transfer RNA (tRNA) molecules are approximately 80 nucleotides in length. The record is from Rfam by way of RNAcentral. Lineage: Eukaryota; Metazoa; Chordata; Mammalia; Rodentia; Sciuridae.